AUCAGAAGGCAGGGGAGGGUAUGAGAAUGGUGUCUAGGCCCUGAAGCCCAGCAGCAUGUCAGAGCAAGGAGACAAAUGCACCACCCCCCGCUGGAAACAUGAGGCCAUGCAAAAUGGCAUCUGGUAUCCUCCACAUUAUGCAUUUGUUUGUGAUGGGGCUAAAGGCGUCAGCCUGCUUCAGUUCGGCUGGCGGCUAGCCGAAGUUGGCUAGGCGAACCAAACGAGUGUGCUCACAUACUCCCUUAAAAGACCUUCGCUGGAAAAACAAGAAAAAGCAGCACUAGUACCGUUUGUCCGUUUUGAGAUUAUGUUUCUUAGAAUUCAUCUGAAAUAGCUUGAGAAAUCUGUCAUAAAUGUUCACGUUCUUGCCAAGGAGAUCUUAGUUGUGCAAUUUUAUAUCUAACUAAGAUGUUUGGUGCAGACUGCAUGAAAAUGAGUCAUCUCUCAUUGAAUGACAACAAAGACUUUAUUGAAAAAUCCCUACAGUUGACCAGUUACGGACGAAGGGGCGUAGACUUAGGCUGGCCUCUGGAAAAAGGUUGUGUGCCCGAACAGCCAACAAAACCCUUACUGAAGUCCAAAAUAAAUAAACCUCCACAAAA
This is a non-coding RNA of Salvelinus sp. IW2-2015, 602 nucleotides long. The record is from RefSeq and is a predicted model, not a curated record. Lineage: Eukaryota; Metazoa; Chordata; Actinopteri; Salmoniformes; Salmonidae.